CCUAGCACUACAUUUCCCAGGAGUCAGCGGGCGACGCCGCCGCAGCCGCCGUCGGAGAGCGGGGACGCGGGGCGCGCUGUCGGGCGGGGGCGAGGUUCGGGCCGGUUGUGCCGUUGCGAGGUUGCGGCUGCGAUCGCUGCGGUGGGCCCAGAAUUGUAUCCUGACUUUGUAAAUUGGAGAAGCCAGUGACACUGCCAGUGUUCUUUUGCAGUAGUGUCUGUCUGGGAUCCGGUGCAAGUUGAAUCAUUGUUCAAAUAAGGUGUAAUUGAAAAGUGACCUUCUCUUCAGAGAUGUCAAAAACAAACAAAUCCAAGUCUGGAUCUCGCUCUUCUCGUUCAAGAUCUGCAUCAAGAUCUCGUUCUCGUUCAUUUUCGAAGUCUCGGUCCCGAAGUCGAUCUGUGUCUCGUUCGAGGAAGCGCAGGCUGAGUUCUAGGUCUCGUUCCAGAUCAUAUUCUCCAGCUCAUAACAGAGAGAGAAAUCACCCAAGAGUAUAUCAGAACCGGGAUUUCCGAGGUCACAACAGAGGCUAUAGAAGGCCCUAUUAUUUCCGAGGGCGCAACAGAGGCUUUUAUCCGUGGGGCCAGUAUAACCGAGGUGGCUAUGGAAACUACCGCUCAAAUUGGCAGAAUUACCGGCAAGCAUACAGUCCUCGUCGGGGCCGCUCCCGAUCCCGGUCCCCAAAGAGAAGGUCCCCUUCACCAAGAUCCAGGAGCCAUUCUAGAAACUCCGAUAAGUCUUCCUCUGACAGGUCAAGGCGCUCCUCGUCCUCUCGUUCUUCUUCCAACCACAGCCGAGUGGAAUCUUCUAAGCGCAAGUCUGCGAAGGAGAAAAAGUCCUCUUCCAAGGAUAGCCGGCCAUCUCAGGCCACCGGGGAUAACCAAGGAGACGAGGCCAAGGAACAGACGUUCUCUGGAGGCACCUCUCAAGAUACAAAAGCAUCUGACAGCUCGAAACCGUGGCCAGAUGCCUCCACGUACAGUGCUGGUUCUGCGUCACGGGCCUCUGCAGUUUCUGAGUUGAGCCCCCGGGAGCGAAGCCCUGCUCUCAAAAGCCCACUCCAGUCUGUGGUGGUGAGGCGGCGCUCACCCCGUCCUAGCCCUGUGCCAAAACCUAGCCCUCCACUUUCCAACACAUCCCAGAUGGGCUCAACUCUGCAGAGUGGUGCUGGGUACCAGGCUGGGACACACCAAGGUCCAUUCGAUCAUGGCUCUGGGUCCUUGAGUCCAUCCAAAAAGAGCCCUGUCGGUAAGAGUCCACCGGCCACUGGCUCCACAUAUGGCUCGUCUCAGAAGGAGGAGGCUGCUGCUUCAGGAGGGGCAGCCUAUACAAAGAGCAUAAAGUUGCUUUAGACUGCUCUUCAAUGAUGUUUUCACAUUUAAAAUUUGCCUUGGAUUCUACCAAUGUAAGCCAGAGAACAGUAGAGAUUUGUGGGUCAGCUAUCAAAAAAAUAUGGUCUUUGCCAAAGUGAAUGGCCGUUGGAGCUGUUAGACCCCGUAGGACCCACCGUCUGCUCUGAUCGAUCUGCAUCGUCCCAUCAUGGUGAAGAGCUACACCUCGUACCCUCACACCCUCCAGUUGAGGAGACUGGGCAGAGUGGGAAAGCCCGAGGCUUAGUCCAGGAAGCCCUUGUUUUAAAAUGACAAGGUGGGUGUGUGUCCCAGUAGAAGCCACCCAGGCUGCUUGUUAGGAGAGGACGUGACCAUGCUUCUGUCUUUCUGCUCUGGGGGACAUGUAUAUUUCAUAUUUAGAUCUUCUAGGUGACUUGAAGCAAACACGAAGUCUCUUUUGAGACUUGUAUUUCCAAAUGUGAGUUGUAUCAAAGCAAAACAAACAGCCCAAGGUUGAACAUUCUAUGUUAACUUUGCUGAAAGCAGAUUUUAAGUGACUGAGUGAAGGUUGGAUAAGACCUUAAUUUUUUUUUUCCUAGACCACUUACAGGUAAGUAGGUUUUUGUUUUUUAGUAUCCUAAAAAUUACCUUUGCUGUUUUCUUUUUGGUUGCUCUUGUAAGAUACAACUCCAUGGACCAUGUAUUUUUCUUUUAGUUGGCACCCAAGUUUAUAGAUCUGUGAAAGGCCACUUCUCAGAAAUUACUAGAAAGUAACCAAGUAGAAAGUCCUUUGGUAACACUGGAAUCCACAAGACAUGUUUGUUCAGAGAACCAAAAACACAAGCCCAGAUGGUCCUGUUCUAGAUCAGGUUGCUUAAAGGGCCUCUUUUGUGUCUCCCUUGUGUUUUUAU
RNA transcript from Ailuropoda melanoleuca (giant panda), 2239 nucleotides. It is a transcript of the gene named thyroid hormone receptor-associated protein 3, with no coding region annotated. NCBI's taxonomy places the organism in Eukaryota, Metazoa, Chordata, Mammalia, Carnivora, Ursidae. The record is from RefSeq and is a predicted model, not a curated record. The transcript is spliced from 6 exons.